GACGAACGCUGGCGGCGUGCUUAACACAUGCAAGUCGAACGAUGAACCACUUCGGUGGGGAUUAGUGGCGAACGGGUGAGUAACACGUGGGCAAUCUGCCCUUCACUCUGGGACAAGCCCUGGAAACGGGGUCUAAUACCGGAUACAACACUCUCGGGCAUCCGAUGAGUGUGGAAAGCUCCGGCGGUGAAGGAUGAGCCCGCGGCCUAUCAGCUUGUUGGUGAGGUAACGGCUCACCAAGGCGACGACGGGUAGCCGGCCUGAGAGGGCGACCGGCCACACUGGGACUGAGACACGGCCCAGACUCCUACGGGAGGCAGCAGUGGGGAAUAUUGCACAAUGGGCGAAAGCCUGAUGCAGCGACGCCGCGUGAGGGAUGACGGCCUUCGGGUUGUAAACCUCUUUCAGCAGGGAAGAAGCGAAAGUGACGGUACCUGCAGAAGAAGCGCCGGCUAACUACGUGCCAGCAGCCGCGGUAAUACGUAGGGCGCGAGCGUUGUCCGGAAUUAUUGGGCGUAAAGAGCUCGUAGGCGGUCUGUCGCGUCGGAUGUGAAAGCCCGGGGCUUAACCCCGGGUCUGCAUUCGAUACGGGCAGACUAGAGUGUGGUAGGGGAGAUCGGAAUUCCUGGUGUAGCGGUGAAAUGCGCAGAUAUCAGGAGGAACACCGGUGGCGAAGGCGGAUCUCUGGGCCAUUACUGACGCUGAGGAGCGAAAGCGUGGGGAGCGAACAGGAUUAGAUACCCUGGUAGUCC
Molecule: ribosomal RNA, 752 nt
Filed under: uncultured bacterium
Lineage: Bacteria
Description: bacterial SSU rRNA
Rfam family: Bacterial small subunit ribosomal RNA
Source: RNAcentral